This 253-nucleotide ribosomal RNA is filed under the name Sorangiineae bacterium. Its description in RNAcentral is "partial 16S ribosomal RNA". It matches the Rfam family "Bacterial small subunit ribosomal RNA", at positions 524 to 776 of the family's 1533-position model. The record is from RNAcentral. Lineage: Bacteria; Pseudomonadati; Myxococcota; Myxococcia; Myxococcales. RNAcentral also lists the same sequence under 2 other names.
UACAUGGGGUGCAAACGUUGCUCGGAAUUAUUGGGCGUAAAGCGCACGUAGGCGGUUCGUUAAGUCGGAUGUGAAAGCCCUCGGCUCAACUGAGGAAGUGCACCCGAAACUGGCGAGCUUGAGUACGAAAGAGGAUCGCGGAAUUCCCGGUGUAGAGGUGAAAUUCGUAGAUAUCGGGAGGAACACCGGUGGCGAAGGCGGCGAUCUGGGUCGAUACUGACGCUGAGGUGCGAAAGCGUGGGGAGCAAACAGG